This 253-nucleotide ribosomal RNA is filed under the name uncultured bacterium. Its description in RNAcentral is "partial 16S ribosomal RNA". It matches the Rfam family "Bacterial small subunit ribosomal RNA", at positions 524 to 776 of the family's 1533-position model. The record is from RNAcentral.
UACAGAGGUCCCAAGCGUUGUUCGGAUUCACUGGGCGUAAAGCGCACGUAGGCGGCUUUGUAAGUUAGAGGUGAAAGCCCGGGGCUCAACCCCGGAACUGCCUUUAAUACUGGCAAUCUCGAGUCCGAGAGAGGUGAGUGGAAUUCCUAGUGUAGAGGUGAAAUUCGUAGAUAUUAGGAAGAACACCAGUGGCGAAGGCGGCUCACUGGCUCGGUACUGACGCUGAGGCGCGAAAGCGUGGGGAGCAAACAGG